Chelonoidis abingdonii (Abingdon island giant tortoise) is the source of this 362-nucleotide non-coding RNA. Lineage: Eukaryota; Metazoa; Chordata; Testudines; Testudinidae. The record is from RefSeq and is a predicted model, not a curated record.
UACUAGGAAAUGUAAAGAAGUGUAAACAGCUUCUUCAAAAAGCUGUGGAAUGCUGUGCGGUUCCACCAGAAAUGUUGGAAAUUGCUCUACAAAACCUACAUUUGCAGAAAAGGCAGUUGCUUUCAGAUGAAGAAAAAGAGAACUUCACAGUAUCAAGUAUACAAGAAUCCGGACCACAAAACAUGGCUGGAAAUGUCCGGAGUAGGAAAAAAAGUGAUUCUGGUGAAAUUUCUGCUAAUGCCCCCAGAUCUUCUCUUGGGAAGAACAACAACUCUCCACAAGAGUUUGAUGCAGUCCGGGUUGGGCGCAAUCCCUUAAAGCAAUUAAACAAAUCUAACCAGGUGGAAGCUUUUUGAAUGCUU